UGCUUAACAUCAGGACUGCUUGAAAAACUGCUAGACUUGAGAUAGGUCGGCGUUGCUGGAAUAUGGCAAGUAGAGGUGAAAUUCAUAGAUAUGCCAUAGAACACCGAUAGCGAAGGCAGGCGACGAGGCCUUAUCUGACGCUGAGGCACGAAAGCGUGGGGAUCAAACAGGAUUAGAUACCCUGGUAGUCCACGCUGUAAACGAUGAUGACUUGUUGUUUGGGAGUAAAUCCUGAGUGACAAAGCGAAAGCGAUAAGUCAUCCACCUGGGGAGUACGCCGGCAACGGUGAAACUCAAAGGAAUUGGCGGGGGCCCGCACAAGCGGAGGAGCAUGUGGUUUAAUUCGAUGGUACGCGAGGAACCUUACCUGGGCUUGAAAGUUAGGGACGGACGCUGAAAGGUGUCUUUCCCGCAAGGGACCCGAAACUAGGUGCUGCAUGGCUGUCGUCAGCUCGUGCCGUGAGGUGUUUGGUUAAGUCCAUCAACGAGCGCAACCCCUAUCGUUAGUUGCCAACGCGCGAGGCGGGGACUCUAACGAGACUGCCGGCGCAAGCUGGAGGAAGGAGGGGAUGACGUCAAGUCAUCACGGCCCUUACGUCCAGGGCUACACACGUGCUACAAUGGUGGAAACAGAGGGCAGCGAGGCCGUAAGGCGGAGCCAAUCCCAGAAACUCCACCCCAGUUCGGAUUGAGGUCUGCAACUCGACCUCAUGAAGCUGGAUUCGC
Molecule: ribosomal RNA, 726 nt
Filed under: uncultured Bacteroidota bacterium
Lineage: Bacteria; Pseudomonadati; Bacteroidota
Description: bacterial SSU rRNA
Rfam family: Bacterial small subunit ribosomal RNA
Source: RNAcentral